Long non-coding RNA from Myzus persicae (green peach aphid), 646 nucleotides. RefSeq lists it as uncharacterized. NCBI's taxonomy places the organism in Eukaryota, Metazoa, Arthropoda, Insecta, Hemiptera, Aphididae. The transcript has 3 exons. The record is from RefSeq and is a predicted model, not a curated record.
ACGAGUGUGUGUGUACAUAUAUAUUAUAUUAUACACAAUACAUAUAUUAUGUAUAAGUACGCCGAUCGUUUGAUAACAAAACUAUGAUAGUCGACGCAUACUAAUCAGCUACUAAUACUACAGCGGGCCAUCGAUGAAACAAAAACAUAAUAAUAUUAUAGUAUAAUAAUAUAUUAAAUAUGCGUACGUACGUCCGUUUGUUUUUUCUCGAUUUUUAUUUUGUGCAGUUGCACGUGACCAUUCCACUUUCCCGCGGCUGUGUGUGGACGACAGUUUGGCCCGAGGACCGUCAAAUAGUAUACAUGUUUCGACUGUAGUUACGGUCUGAUGCAAUACAAGUCAUCCUAGCCGUCACGAGUACGAAUAAUAUAGUACAAGUAAUAUUAAUAAAAAUAAAAAUUUUACGAAGAUCGAAAAUCGCGAUGAUUUCAGUGAACUUAAGCAGAGAUGGCAAUCUGUGAUUCAAGUUAAGUAGAUACCUUACUCAUUGACAUAAUAUUUUGGAAGUGUCCAACGACCAACACGCGAUAUAGGCAGCCGUCUACAACAAUGCGCAAUGUAUGAUAAUAAUGUUUAUAUUUGUUUUAUGUAUUCAACAUUAUACUAAUUUUUGGACUAAUUUUCUAAAUUUACUUAAUUUUUAUAC